AUUUCCCUUUUCUUAUAAGGACACCAGUCAUCAGAUUUAAGGCCCACUCUCAUCCAGCAUGAUCUCAUCUUGAUUACAUCUGCAGACUCUAUUUGUAAAUAAGGUCACAUUCAUAGAAUCUGAAUGAACCACUAAGUGAGGUCUGUCUCCCUUGCCCAGAGGGAUUCUGCACAUGUUUCUGUUUUGAAAGGAGGAAGGAAGAGAAGGUCUGCUUUCAGCGCCCAAGUUUCACUUCCUUCCAUCCCCCU
This is a non-coding RNA of Ceratotherium simum simum (southern white rhinoceros), 248 nucleotides long. The record is from RefSeq and is a predicted model, not a curated record. NCBI's taxonomy places the organism in Eukaryota, Metazoa, Chordata, Mammalia, Perissodactyla, Rhinocerotidae.